AACUUGACUAAUAAGGAUUAGUUUUUUAGCUAUUUAUAGCUAAUUAACACAAUCCCGGGGCGUUCUAUAUAGUUAUGUAUAAUGUAUAUUUAUAUUAUUUAUGCCUCUAACUGGAACGUACCUUGAGCAUAUAUGCUGUGACCCGAAAGAUGGUGAACUAUACUUGAUCAGGUUGAAGUCAGGGGAAACCCUGAUGGAAGACCGAAACAGUUCUGACGUGCAAAUCGAUUGUCAGAAUUGAGUAUAGGGGCGAAAGACCAAUCGAACCAUCUAGUAGCUGGUUCCUUCCGAAGUUUCCCUCAGGAUAGCUGGUGCAUUUUAAUAUUAUAUAAAAUAAUCUUAUCUGGUAAAGCGAAUGAUUAGAGGCCUUAGGGUCGAAACGAUCUUAACCUAUUCUCAAACUUUAAAUGGGUAAGAACCUUAACUUUCUUGAUAUGAAGUUCAAGGUUAUGAUAUAAUGUGCCCAGUGGGCCACUUUUGGUAAGCAGAACUGGCGCUGUGGAUGAACCAAACGUAAUGUUACGGUGCCCAAAUUAACAACUCAUGCAGAUACCAUGAAAGGCGUUGGUUGCUUAAAACAGCAGGACGGUGAUCAUGGAAGUCGAAAUCCGCUAAGGAGUGUGUAACAACUCACCUGCCGAAGCAACUAGCCCUUAAAAUGGAUGGCGCUUAAGUUGUAUACCUAUACAUUACCGCUAAAGUAGAUGAUUUAUAUUACUUGUGAUAUAAAUUUUGAAACUUUAGUGAGUAGGAAGGUACAAUGGUAUGCGUAGAAGUGUUUGGCGUAAGCCUGCAUGGAGCUGCCAUUGGUACAGAUCUUGGUGGUAGUAGCAAAUAAUCGAAUGAGACCUUGGAGGACUGAAGUGGAGAAGGGUUUCGUGUGAACAGUGGUUGAUCACGAGUUAGUCGGUCCUAAGUUCAAGGCGAAAGCCGAAAAUUUUCAAGUAAAACAAAAAUGCCUAACUAUAUAAACAAAGCGAAUUAUAAUACACUUGAAUAAUUUUGAACGAAAGGGAAUACGGUUCCAAUUCCGUAACCUGUUGAGUAUCCGUUUGUUAUUAAAUAUGGGCCUCGUGCUCAUCCUGGCAACAGGAACGACCAUAAAGAAGCCGUCGAGAGAUAUCGGAAGAGUUUUCUUUUCUGUUUUAUAGCCGUACUACCAUGGAAGUCUUUCGCAGAGAGAUAUGGUAGAUGGGCUAGAAGAGCAUGACAUAUACUGUUGUGUCGAUAUUUUCUCCUCGGACCUUGAAAAUUUAUGGUGGGGACACGCAAACUUCUCAACAGGCCGUACCAAUAUCCGCAGCUGGUCUCCAAGGUGAAGAGUCUCUAGUCGAUAGAAUAAUGUAGGUAAGGGAAGUCGGCAAAUUAGAUCCGUAACUUCGGGAUAAGGAUUGGCUCUGAAGAUUGAGAUAGUCGGGCUUGAUUGGGAAACAAUAACAUGGUUUAUGUGCUCGUUCUGGGUAAAUAGAGUUUCUAGCAUUUAUGUUAGUUACUUGUUCCCCGGAUAGUUUAGUUACGUAGCCAAUUGUGGAACUUUCUUGCUAAAAUUUUUAAGAAUACUAUUUGGGUUAAACCAAUUAGUUCUUAUUAAUUAUAACGAUUAUCAAUUAACAAUCAAUUCAGAACUGGCACGGACUUGGGGAAUCCGACUGUCUAAUUAAAACAAAGCAUUGUGAUGGCCCUAGCGGGUGUUGACACAAUGUGAUUUCUGCCCAGUGCUCUGAAUGUCAAAGUGAAGAAAUUCAAGUAAGCGCGGGUCAACGGCGGGAGUAACUAUGACUCUCUUAAGGUAGCCAAAUGCCUCGUCAUCUAAUUAGUGACGCGCAUGAAUGGAUUAACGAGAUUCCUACUGUCCCUAUCUACUAUCUAGCGAAACCACAGCCAAGGGAACGGGCUUGGAAUAAUUAGCGGGGAAAGAAGACCCUUUUGAGCUUGACUCUAAUCUGGCAGUGUAAGGAGACAUAAGAGGUGUAGAAUAAGUGGGAGAUAUUAGACCUCGGUUUGGUAUCGUCAAUGAAAUACCACUACUCUUAUUGUUUCCUUACUUACUUGAUUAAAUGGAACGUGUAUCAUUUCCUAGCCAUUAUACGGAUAUAUUUAUUAUAUCUUAUGGUAUUGGGUUUUGAUGCAAGCUUCUUGAUCAAAGUAUCACGAGUUUGUUAUAUAAUCGCAAACAAAUUCUUUAAUAAAACGAUGCAUUUAUGUAUUUUUGAUUUGAAAAUUUGGUAUAACUCCAAUUACUCAGGUAUGAUCCAAUUCAAGGACAUUGCCAGGUAGGGAGUUUGACUGGGGCGGUACAUCUCUCAAAUAAUAACGGAGGUGUCCCAAGGCCAGCUCAGUGCGGACAGAAACCACACAUAGAGCAAAAGGGCAAAUGCUGACUUGAUCUCGGUGUUCAGUACACACAGGGACAGCAAAAGCUCGGCCUAUCGAUCCUUUUGGUUUAAAGAGUUUUUAACAAGAGGUGUCAGAAAAGUUACCAUAGGGAUAACUGGCUUGUGGCGGCCAAGCGUUCAUAGCGACGUCGCUUUUUGAUCCUUCGAUGUCGGCUCUUCCUAUCAUUGUGAAGCAAAAUUCACCAAGCGUUGGAUUGUUCACCCAUGCAAGGGAACGUGAGCUGGGUUUAGACCGUCGUGAGACAGGUUAGUUUUACCCUACUAAUGACAAAACGUUGUUGCGACAGCAUUCCUGCGUAGUACGAGAGGAACCGCAGGUACGGACCAAUGGCACAAUACUUGUUCGAGCGAACAGUGGUAUGACGCUACGUCCGUUGGAUUAUGCCUGAACGCCUCUAAGGUCGUAUCCGUGCUGGACUGCAAUGAUAAAUAAGGGGCAAUUUGCAUUGUAUGGCUUCUAAACCAUUUAAAGUUUAUAAUUUACUUUAUAAACGACAAUGGAUGUGAUGCCAAUGUAAUUUGUAACAUAGUAAAUUGGGAGGAUCUUCGAUCACCUGAUGCCGCGCUAGUUACAUAUAAAAGCAUUAUUU
RNAcentral lists this ribosomal RNA (2986 nucleotides) under Drosophila melanogaster (fruit fly). Its description in RNAcentral is "eukaryotic LSU rRNA". It matches the Rfam family "Eukaryotic large subunit ribosomal RNA", at positions 722 to 3401 of the family's 3401-position model. Lineage: Eukaryota; Metazoa; Arthropoda; Insecta; Diptera; Drosophilidae. The record is from RNAcentral.